GAUGAACGCUAGCGAUAGGCUUAACACAUGCAAGUCGAGGGGCAGCACAAGGUAGCUUGCUAUCUGGGUGGCGACCGGCGCACGGGUGCGUAACGCGUAUGCAACUUGCCCUAUACAGGAGGAUAACCCGUCGAAAGACGGACUAAUACUGCGUAUGCUCACAACUUGGCAUCAAGUGGUGAGGAAAGAAAUUCGGUAUAGGAUAGGCAUGCGUCCCAUUAGCUUGUUGGUGAGGUAACGGCUCACCAAGGCAACGAUGGGUAGGGGAACUGAGAGGUUUAUCCCCCAAACUGGUACUGAGACACGGACCAGACUCCUACGGGAGGAAGCAGUGAGGAAUAUUGGUCAAUGGGCGCGAGCCUGAACCAGCCAAGUCGCGUGAAGGAUGACUGUCUUAUGGAUUGUAAACUUCUUUUAUACGGGAAUAACAAGAGUCACGUGUGACUCCCUGCAUGUACCGGAUGAAUAAGCAUCGGCUAACUCCGUG
Molecule: ribosomal RNA, 487 nt
Filed under: uncultured bacterium
Lineage: Bacteria
Description: partial 16S ribosomal RNA
Rfam family: Bacterial small subunit ribosomal RNA
Source: RNAcentral